This 279-nucleotide unclassified non-coding RNA is filed under the name plant metagenome. RNAcentral describes it as "partial contains small subunit ribosomal RNA, internal transcribed spacer 1, and 5.8S ribosomal RNA". The record is from RNAcentral.
UUUCCGUAGGUGAACCUGCGGAAGGAUCAUUAAAGAAUUUCCCCCCUCCUCUCGAGGCUUGGACCUUUUCUAUACCGUGUCUUCAUCCCUCUGUUGCUUUGGCCCGCCGCCCUCUCGGCGUUGGCUCCGGCUGACUGUGCCCGCCUGAGUACCCCUACUCUUCUGUUUAGUAUUGUCCUUAUUUUCUCUAAUAUUUAAAACUUUCACCCUCGGAUCCCUUGGUUCUGGAAUCGAUCAAGAACGCUGCAGAUCGGAUGUGCUCACGUCUGACCCCCACUC